GGUCGUUAGCUCAGUUGGUAGAGCAGUUGACUUUUAAUCAAUUGGUCGCAGGUUCGAAUCCUGCACGACCCACCA
RNAcentral lists this transfer RNA (75 nucleotides) under Moraxella lacunata. Its description in RNAcentral is "tRNA-Lys". It matches the Rfam family "tRNA". Rfam says of the family: Transfer RNA (tRNA) molecules are approximately 80 nucleotides in length. Their secondary structure includes four short double-helical elements and three loops (D, anti-codon, and T loops). Further hydrogen bonds mediate the characteristic L-shaped molecular structure. tRNAs have two regions of fundamental functional importance: the anti-codon, which is responsible for specific mRNA codon recognition, and the 3' end, to which the tRNAs corresponding amino acid is attached (by aminoacyl-tRNA synthetases). tRNAs cope with the degeneracy of the genetic code in two manners: having more than one tRNA (with a specific anti-codon) for a particular amino acid; and 'wobble' base-pairing, i.e. permitting non-standard base-pairing at the 3rd anti-codon position. Lineage: Bacteria; Pseudomonadati; Pseudomonadota; Gammaproteobacteria; Moraxellales; Moraxellaceae. RNAcentral also lists the same sequence under 94 other names. The record is from RNAcentral.